RNAcentral lists this ribosomal RNA (500 nucleotides) under uncultured bacterium. RNAcentral describes it as "partial 16S ribosomal RNA". It matches the Rfam family "Bacterial small subunit ribosomal RNA", at positions 30 to 523 of the family's 1533-position model. The record is from RNAcentral.
AUUGAACGCUGGCGGAAUGCUUUACACAUGCAAGUCGAACGGCAGCACGGACUUCGGUCUGGUGGCGAGUGGCGAACGGGUGAGUAAUGUAUCGGAACGUGCCCAGUCGUGGGGGAUAACGUAGUGAAAAUUACGCUAAUACCGCAUACGAUCUAUGGAUGAAAGCGGGGGAUCGCAAGACCUCGCGCGCUUGGAGCGGCCGAUAUCAGAUUAGGUAGUUGGUGGGGUAAAGGCCCACCAAGCCAACGAUGUGUAGCGGUGAGGAUAGGACGACCAGCCACGCGGGAACUGAGACACGGACCAGACUCCGACGGGGGGCAGCAGUGGGGAAUUUUGGACAAUGGGCGAAAGCCUGAUCCAGCCAUUCCGCGUGCAGGAUGAAGGCCCUCGGGUUGUAAACUGCUUUUGUACAGAACGAAAAGGUUUCUACUAAUACUAGGAGCUCAUGACGGUACUGUAAGAAUAAGCACCGGCUAACUACGUGCCAGCAGCCGCGGUAA